GACUUACUGGUUCAGCGGUAGGGCGUUUGACGAGGAGUCAGAGGUCCUGGGUUCGAUCCCCGACGGGGUUG
This 71-nucleotide transfer RNA is filed under the name Schistosoma japonicum. RNAcentral's name for it is "tRNA-Pro". The record is from RNAcentral. Lineage: Eukaryota; Metazoa; Platyhelminthes; Trematoda; Strigeidida; Schistosomatidae.